UUAAAAAUAAGCUAAAUAAGCUUUUGGAUUCAUACUUCAAAUAUAAAGGAAAUACCUUUUUUUAAA
This 66-nucleotide transfer RNA is filed under the name Acropteris iphiata. RNAcentral describes it as "tRNA-Met". The record is from RNAcentral. Lineage: Eukaryota; Metazoa; Arthropoda; Insecta; Lepidoptera; Uraniidae.